RNAcentral lists this ribosomal RNA (253 nucleotides) under uncultured bacterium. RNAcentral's name for it is "partial 16S ribosomal RNA". It matches the Rfam family "Bacterial small subunit ribosomal RNA", at positions 524 to 776 of the family's 1533-position model. The record is from RNAcentral.
UACGGGGGGGGCAAGCGUUGUUCGGAAUUACUGGGCGUAAAGGGCUCGUAGGCGGCCAACUAAGUCGGAUGUGAAAUCCCCAGGCUCAACCUGGGAACUGCAUCCGAUACUGGAUGGCUUGAAUUCGGGAGAGGGAUGCAGAAUUCCAGGUGUAGCGGUGAAAUGCGUAGAUAUCUGGAGGAACACCGGUGGCGAAGGCGGCAUCCUGGACCAUUACUGACACUGAAAAGCGAAAGCCAGGGGAGCAAACGGG